RNAcentral lists this long non-coding RNA (201 nucleotides) under Bos taurus (domestic cattle). RNAcentral's name for it is "long non-coding RNA NONBTAT004133". The record is from RNAcentral. Lineage: Eukaryota; Metazoa; Chordata; Mammalia; Artiodactyla; Bovidae.
CCACCAGAAGAAGCUUUAAUUAUUUUAAAUGUGCUUUGCAGAUGCAUUAAUAAUAGGUUUUCCUCGGGAAAUCUUUAAAUCAUGUAUGUACAGCUGGUAUCCCUCCAUCGGUAAGUACAAAGAAUAUUUUACUUAGAUCAUGAAACAGUUUCUCAAAGAAAUAAGUACACCUGGUUUGGAUUUUUUUUUUUAACUAUGCAA